CAUUUACUCUCUACUGGCUAUUUAACUCAAUGGUCUAUGCCUGGGAGAGCUAUAGGGUAUCGCCAAGCCAUUGAAUAUUUACUUAGACCACCAACAUCCCCUAAAACAUCUUCAACUUCAUCAACUUCAACUUCAACACCUUCAAAGAUUAUAAGCAAUGUGGA
This 164-nucleotide non-coding RNA is filed under the name Pteridomonas danica. The record is from RNAcentral. Lineage: Eukaryota; Dictyochophyceae; Pedinellales.